Molecule: ribosomal RNA, 492 nt
Filed under: uncultured bacterium
Lineage: Bacteria
Description: partial 16S ribosomal RNA
Rfam family: Bacterial small subunit ribosomal RNA
Source: RNAcentral
AGUGAACGCUGGCGGUAGGCCUAACACAUGCAAGCCGAACGGCAGCACAGUAAGAUCUUGCUCUUACGGGUGGCGAGUGGCGGACGGGUGAGGAAUACAUCGGAAUCUACUUUUUCGUGGGGGAUAACGUAGGGAAACUUACGCUAAUACCGCAUACGACCUACGGGUGAAAGCAGGGGAUCUUCGGACCUUGCGCGAUUGAAUGAGCCGAUGUCGGAUUAGCUAGUUGGCGGGGUAAAGGCCCACCAAGGCGACGAUCCGUAGCUGGUCUGAGAGGAUGAUCAGCCACACUGGAACUGAGACACGGUCCAGACUCCUACGGGAGGCAGCAGUGGGGAAUAUUGGACAAUGGGCGCAAGCCUGAUCCAGCCAUACCGCGUGGGUGAAGAAGGCCUUCGGGUUGUAAAGCCCUUUUGUUGGGAAAGAAAAGCAGCAGGUUAAUACCCAGCUGUUCUGACGGUACCCAAAGAAUAAGCACCGGCUAACUUCGUG